UGCCCAGACCUAUGGAAGGGAUCGUAGCUUUGUUGCUCAACGCAAACUCUCCAAUGUCUUUCGCCAUUUUUUGGAGAGAGAAUCAAAUUGGUCUUCCAGAAGAGAGAGAAAAGAGAGAGUGGGUUUAGGCCUUAAGGGAGUGAACAGUGCUCUCCUCCUCGGCUCCUCCUCCUAACGAGGGAAUGGGAGAAUCUUUCGCCGGCACGUUUCUAUCAAUGUUUUGAUAAAGUUUAAAUUACUAUUCAGUUAAAUGGAGUAUUGUUUUUUGACAGCGGUUAACUCAUAACAAAUCACUCCACCCACGAUUUAUUAUCUAUUUCUUUUCUUUCUCCUACUUUGUAUUCGUAUUUUCUCAUAAAUUUUUUUAAAAAAAUUUAAUUUUUUUUUCUUGAUUGCAACCCAUAUAGACUAGCUAGUGUCAAUAAAGCCUCCCGCUUUAUAAUUUAUAAUAAUAAGAGAUUAUGAUUUUUAUUGAAUUUGUCCUUUAUUUUAUAAAUAAUGUUGUGAACAGAAACUAUAUAUAAAAAAUUAUCAGUAGCCAUAAUAAGAGAGAAAAGAUGGCAAAUAUAAUCUUUCAUCAAACUUUGAAACUGUUUGGUAGUUAUGUUAUGACAAAAACAAAAUGUCUUUGAGACAACAUAUAAUAUCUAGUUAAAUUGAUAUCAUAUUACCUUUAGGUUCAAGUUAACUUUAAAUUUUAAGAUUUUAUGACUUGUUCAUAUUAUUUUAAUAUCAUUAGACUUGAACUUUUAAUUUUAACUAUAUCACUCGGUCUAAUUCUUCCUUGGUAGCAUAGGGUUUUAAAUUACACCCAACCAACAUUCAAAUAUGGAAAAUCACCAUCAAAUUCAAUGAAGUUCAUGUCACCAGUCAGCCUUACAAGUUGUUUAAGACUUGAGAGACAUAACAAUAGAGGUCUUGCUCUUAUGGAGUUGAGAGAAAAGUUUUCUUUCACUUGUAUCAGUUAUGACAUUUGGCUUGUGCCACAAACUACUAACAACGUCGACCAUUUUGAGGGUUUAUCACAUCAAUUGCUGCUAUGAAACAGCUCGAAUAAAAUAAGGCCGAUGUCUACAAGAAAUUAAAAUAAAGGGGGAGAGAAGGAAGAAAAUCCUCAUUGAAUCUACUUUUCGCAAUGUAAUAGUAAUUUUCUGCACUGAAAUGAGAUGCACUUUGUUUUCGCUCAGAUCUCACCAUCCCAGAGUUCUUCAACAGUUUUGUAGGCCCCAAGAGUCUCAUGCACAAAUCCAGUGCCUUUAAGUAGCCUUGCCUGCCUUACCAAAAACCAAGAUUCAAUCAUCAUUUAUUCAUUUAUGAAACUGAAUCCUUUCUCACUAGUAAACAGAUACAUUGUUCUAAUUCUUCUGUAAUGGUGAAAUGAAAUCAUGACCAGGCAAAACCUUUUGGUAUAUACAGUUAUCCUGUCCAGUAUAUCUCACCUAAGCUGUCUGAAAAGAGCUAUACUAUAUUGUAUGGCAAGAAAACCAAAAGGAAGAGAAAAGGAAAGCUGGAUGAGAAAUCUUUUCAACAAAAUAUGAACAUUGAGAGGGAUUGAGCACAUAACAUCAGAGAACCCUGCCACUAAUGAGGAGAGAUUGGAGGCGAAGCAACAACCGAACUAUAACAACAAACAAACUCCUAAACAAGAGAUUUUAUGUACAAUUGUUCAUAUCUGAUGACUAGCAUCAAAUUAAGGCAGUCAGAUUUAACAAACUGAAAUUUGAAUACAUAUGUACACACAUACACCAAGCGGUGUGUGUGGAAGAAAGACGAGUUUAAUAUUUUAUUUGUAGUUAAUAAUUUAUGUUGAGGUGACUUUGGUACCCCUACGUUUUGGUGUUAACGGAUCCCAAGUUAUUUAAUGGAAUAUAUAUGAAUGGUCAAAGGUCUAAUGCAAGUUGAUGGUUUUAGUGCUUUGGAAUAAGAAAUAUUAUGUAUUUUAGAUGCAGGUUAGGUUCUGUAAUGUUCCCACUAAUUUGGAGUGCUACAUUACUUAAUUUGCAUAAAUAAAUAAAAAAACAGAAACUAAAGUUCAGGUAUACUUGCCUGUUCAAUUUCAUUAAACUUGGCAAACAAGUCUUCAGGUAUAGACCAUUCAAAGACAUCAAAGUUUUCCUUAAUCCUAGCCUCAUUUAUGCUCUUAGGGAGCACACUGUGACCCUUCUGCAAUCCCCAGCGAAGAGCAACUUGUGCAGGAGACUUGCCUAGUUUUUCUGCAACCGUAUUGAGCACGGGGUUCUUGAGGACAUC
Molecule: long non-coding RNA, 2250 nt
Filed under: Panax ginseng (ginseng)
Lineage: Eukaryota; Viridiplantae; Streptophyta; Magnoliopsida; Apiales; Araliaceae
Description: long non-coding RNA (PGIN_LNC008417)
Source: RNAcentral